RNAcentral lists this non-coding RNA (26 nucleotides) under Mus musculus (house mouse). Lineage: Eukaryota; Metazoa; Chordata; Mammalia; Rodentia; Muridae. The record is from RNAcentral.
UGCAAAAUCCAGAUGCUGGUGUGGGU